Molecule: ribosomal RNA, 468 nt
Filed under: uncultured bacterium
Lineage: Bacteria
Description: partial 16S ribosomal RNA
Rfam family: Bacterial small subunit ribosomal RNA
Source: RNAcentral
GACGAACGCUGGCGGCGUGCUUAACACAUGCAAGUCGAACGGAAAGGCCCUGCUUUUGUGGGGUGCUCGAGUGGCGAACGGGUGAGUAACACGUGAGUAACCUGCCCUUGACUUUGGUAUAACUUCAGGAAACUGGGGCUAAUACCGGAUAGGAUCUCCUGCUGCAUUGUGGGGGUUGGAACGUUUCGGCGGUUGGGGAUGGACUCGCGGCUUAUCAGCUUGUUGGUGGGGUAGUGGCUUACCCAGGGAUUGACGGGUAGCCGGCCUGAGAGGGUGACCGGCGACAUGGGGACUGAGAGACGGCCCAGAGUGGAACGGGAGGCAGCAGGGGGGAACAUGGUACAAUGGGCGGAAGCCGGAGGAAGAAACGCCGGGGGCGGGAUGACGGUCUGCGGGUUGAAAAAAGCUGUCGCCUGUGACGAAGCGGGAGUGACGGUAAUGGGUAAAGAAGCACCGGCUAACUACGUG